AGAAAGGAUCGGGAGACGGAAAGAUGGCAGCCGCAGGUAAAAAGGGCGACUAAAUAAAUACGAAAAUGCAUUGAAAAGGGAAAAGUAAAACCAACGUGAAGGCAAAGAUAGAUCCACAACUUCACUUCACUCAUUCUGGACAUUUCAUUACUAUCUGUUAUUUAUUUGAGAAACCAACUACAACUACCAACUACGAGUGAGCCAUCACUCAUCACGUGGUCUUGGUCGAUGAUACAUAAUGCGGACAUAAUCCAAUCUUAUCAAAAUGCUAAUGUCUCCCCCUUGUUCAGCUCCGAUCCCUUCUUGGCGGCCAAGCCCUUUCAUGUUUGCGCGCUCUCCAUCAGACAUUCCCCUCUCUUUCUCUCUCUCUCUAUUGCGCUGUCUGUUUCGUGAAGUUAUCCCCUCCCCCCCCCCCCCCCCCCUGAAAAGAUAAGCGUGGGAAAACCUCUCUCUCGCUCUCUUCUCUGUCACAUUCACUUGAGGUCAUUCAAUCGGCCCAUAAAUGGCUUUGUUUUUGUUUACAUUAGCUCAGAGGCGGCUUCAUAAGUCAUGAAUGAACUGACUAGUAUCUCUUCAGACUUUCUAUCAAUUGCUUUGGUGUCUCGAAGUCGACGGGUGUAUCUGUCAUUUUGAGACAGAGAAUUUAUUUUACUCCAAUAUAAAGUAAAAGACGAAGAAAUUUGAGUACUGCAAUUUUUGUGAAAAUAAGAAAAUGCAAUAUUGUUUUUAAUAUAAGGAAAAUAAUUACAGCUUUAAAUACAUGACUUGGUCUAGCUCGAUAAAAAUCCAAACAACUAUGAUCAUAUACAUUUUUUUUUCUUCGUAACAUUGGAUAACAAAUUUCACAAAUUCCAACAUACUAUAAAUAUUGAUUAUUUAGUGCAAGGGUAAAUAUGACAAUGACUCGGAACAUAAUACAGGGAUAACAAUUAAUCAAAUUACUCUUAAUACUUGUAAACGUUUUUUUUAAUUAUUUUUUAUAAUUUUUUUUCUUCAGGGGGGCGGGGUCAAAUUUUCCCUCGUGUCGCGCCACGCCUUUUUAAUUUCUUGGCGAGAGGCCUGAUUAUGCAUAGA
This 1074-nucleotide long non-coding RNA is filed under the name Strongylocentrotus purpuratus (purple sea urchin). Its description in RNAcentral is "uncharacterized LOC115929772". The record is from RNAcentral. Lineage: Eukaryota; Metazoa; Echinodermata; Echinoidea; Camarodonta; Strongylocentrotidae.